UACCCGCUCCGCGAGUGGUGAGGACUAUUACUGGGCUUAAAGCGUCCGUAGCCGGCCCGACGUGCUCCGCGUUAAAUCCAGCAGCCUAACUGCUGGGCUGCGCGGAUGACUGCCGGGCUUGGGGGUGGGAGAGGGCGGCGGUAUUCCCGGGGUAGGGGUAAAAUCCACUGAUCCCGGGAGGACCACCAGUGGCGAAGGCGGCCGCCCAGAACACGCCCGACGGUGAGGGACGAAAGCUGGGGGAGCGAUCGGG
Molecule: ribosomal RNA, 253 nt
Filed under: uncultured archaeon
Lineage: Archaea
Description: partial 16S ribosomal RNA
Rfam family: Archaeal small subunit ribosomal RNA
Source: RNAcentral